CCUACGGGUGGCUGCAGUGAGGAAUAUUGCGCAAUGGGCGAAAGCCUGACGCAGCGACGCCGCGUGAAGGAUGAAGGUCUUAGGGCUGUAAACUUCUGUUAAGGAAAAUUCGGUACCGCUAAAGAAAGCACCGGCUAACUUCGUGCCAGCAGCCGCGGUAAUACGAGGGGUGCAAACGUUAUUCGGAAUAACUGGGCGUAAAGGGUGCGUAGACGGUUUGUUAAGCUUGUUGUUAAAUUCCCCGGCCUAACUGGGGACCUGCAAUGAGAACUGGCAUACUAGAGGAUGAGAGAGAAGAGUGGAAUUUCCGGAGUAGCGGUAAAAUGCGUAGAUCUCGGAAGGAACAUCGAUGGCGAAGGCAGCUCUUUGGCUCAUCCUGACGUUGAGGCACGAAAGCGUGGGGAGCAAACAGGAUUAGAUACCCUUGUAGUC
RNAcentral lists this ribosomal RNA (432 nucleotides) under uncultured bacterium. RNAcentral describes it as "partial 16S ribosomal RNA". It matches the Rfam family "Bacterial small subunit ribosomal RNA", at positions 338 to 795 of the family's 1533-position model. The record is from RNAcentral.